Molecule: ribosomal RNA, 864 nt
Filed under: uncultured bacterium
Lineage: Bacteria
Description: bacterial SSU rRNA
Rfam family: Bacterial small subunit ribosomal RNA
Source: RNAcentral
GGCUCACGACGAACGCUGGCGGCGUGCCUAAUACCUGCAAGUCGAGCGAAUCAAUAGGAGCUUGCUCCUGUUGGUUAGCGGCGGACGGGUGAGUAACACGUGGGCAACCUGCCUGUAAGACUGGGAUAACUUCAGGAAACCGGAGCUACUACCGGAUAAUUCCUUUCCUCACAUGAGGGAAGGCUGAAAGACGGUUUCGGCUGUCACUUACAGAUGGGCCCGCGGCGCAUUAGCUAGUUGGUGAGGUAACGGCUCACCAAGGCGACGAUGCGUAGCCGACCUGAGAGGGUGAUCGGCCACACUGGGACUAAGACACGGCCCAUACUCCUACAGGAGGCAGCAGUAGGGAAUCUUCCGCAAUGGACGAAAGUCUGACGGAGCAACGCCGCGUGAGCGAUGAAGGCCUUCGGGUCGUAAAGCUCUGUUGUUAGGGAAGAACAAGUACCGGAGUAACUGCCGGUACCUUGACGGUACCUAACCAGAAAGCCACGGCUAACUACGUGCCAGCAGCCGCGGUAAUACGUAGGUGGCAAGCNGUUGUCCGGAAUUAUUGGGCGUAAAGCGCGCGCAGUGGUCCUUUAAGUCCGAUGUGAAAGCCCACGGCUCAUCCGUGUAGGGUCAUUGGAAACUGGGGGGACUUGAGCGCAGAAGAGGAAAGCGGAAUUCCACGUGUACGGUGAAAUGCGUAGAGAUGUGGAGGAACACCAGUGGCGAAGGUGCUUUCUGGUCUGUACUGACGCUGNAGCGCGAAGCGUGGGGAGCACACAGGAUUAGNUACCCUGGUAUCCACGACGUCAACGAUGAGGGCUAAUUGUAGAGGUUCCGCCCUUUAAUGAUGCUGCCUACGCAUUAAGCAUUCCACCU